RNAcentral lists this long non-coding RNA (589 nucleotides) under Salmo salar (Atlantic salmon). RNAcentral's name for it is "lncRNA (ENSSSAG00000104384.1, ENSSSAG00000105546.1)". Lineage: Eukaryota; Metazoa; Chordata; Actinopteri; Salmoniformes; Salmonidae. The record is from RNAcentral.
GCGGGCACAGGGAGAGGAAGACUGGGCGAUAUCCUUCUUCUAUUGGUUAGUUGAGCUGCCGAUCAGCAGAAAGCCCAGUAAAUUGUUGUUUUUGGAUUGGCGCAAAAACGUCUUUGCAUCGGUCGGUAGGCGAAACGGUAUCGAACUUUAGAAUGACCAGAAACUAAGUCCGAAUCAGGAGCCAGGCUGUACAGCAGGAUGUCUAUAGAGGCUGAGGCGUUGCUGCAGGAGGCUAAGGAGAGUAUAGAAGCAGCUCAGAAUUACAGGAGCGAACUACAACAACGCCUACAUGGACUCAGCCAAGCACGCAAACAGCCUAUGCAGCUGCCAACACCUCAAACAUGUUGACACAUUUACGCCGACAUCACCCCAGUAUUCCUACCACCGGAACAAGAUGGAAACACAAAAAAACAACACCGCUUGGUCUCCCCUCUGCAUUCAAGCAGCCCUUCACAGCUGGUUCUGACUGGGCCAAAGACAUGCCAAGGGUGAUAGGUAUGUUUACACUAGUGGAUAGGAACCCUUUCUCAGUGGUUGAGAAGAAUAGAGGGAAUCGGCAUCUUUUGAAAGUGCUCGAGCCACGUUACGA